UACAGAGGGUGCGAGCGUUGUUCGGAAUUAUUGGGCGUAAAAUGCGCUUGUAGGCGGCACGAUUCAAGUCGCGUGUGAAAUCCCAGGCUUAACCUGGGAAGUGCGCGCGAAACUGACGAGCUUGAGUGCCGGAGAGGGUCGCGGAAUUCCCGGAUGUAGAGGUGAAAUUCGUAGAUAUCGGGAGGAACACCAGUGGCGAAGGCGGCGAAUCUGGGUCGAUACUGACGCUGAGGUGCGAAAGCGUGGGGAGCAAACAGG
Molecule: ribosomal RNA, 258 nt
Filed under: uncultured bacterium
Lineage: Bacteria
Description: partial 16S ribosomal RNA
Rfam family: Bacterial small subunit ribosomal RNA
Source: RNAcentral